RNAcentral lists this ribosomal RNA (413 nucleotides) under uncultured bacterium. RNAcentral's name for it is "bacterial SSU rRNA". It matches the Rfam family "Bacterial small subunit ribosomal RNA", at positions 9 to 420 of the family's 1533-position model. The record is from RNAcentral.
GAGUUUGAUCGUGGCUCAGGACGAACGCUGGCCGCGUGCUUAACACAUGCAAGUCGAACGCUGAAGCCUGGUGCUUGCACCGGGUGGAUGAGUGGCGAACGGGUGAGUAACACGUGAGUAACCUGCCCCUGACUUCGGGAUAAGCCCGGGAAACUGGGUCUAAUACCGGAUACGACCGUCGGACGCAUGUCUGGUGGUGGAAAGUUUUUUCGGUUGGGGAUGGGCUCGCGGCCUAUCAGUUUGUUGGUGAGGUAAUGGCUCACCAAGACGACGACGGGUAGCCGGCCUGAGAGGGCGACCGGCCACACUGGGACUGAGACACGGCCCAGACUCCUACGGGAGGCAGCAGUGGGGAAUAUUGCACAAUGGGGAAACCCUGAUGCGGCGACGCAGCGUGCGGAUGACGGCCUCGG